UACGUAGGGUGCGAGCGUUGUCCGGAAUUAUUGGGCGUAAAGGGCUCGUAGGCGGUCCAUCGCGUCGGGAGUGAAAAGCUGGGGCUUAACCCCAGUCCUGCUUCCGAUACGGGUGGACUAGAGGUAGGUAGGGGAGAACGGAAUUCCCAGUGUAGAGGUGAAAUUCGUAGAUAUUGGGAGGAACACCGGUGGCGAAGGCGGCCAUCUGGGAGGGCACUGACGCUGAGACGCGAAAGCGUGGGGAGCAAACAGG
This 253-nucleotide ribosomal RNA is filed under the name uncultured bacterium. RNAcentral's name for it is "partial 16S ribosomal RNA". It matches the Rfam family "Bacterial small subunit ribosomal RNA", at positions 524 to 776 of the family's 1533-position model. The record is from RNAcentral.